This 255-nucleotide ribosomal RNA is filed under the name uncultured bacterium. RNAcentral's name for it is "partial 16S ribosomal RNA". It matches the Rfam family "Bacterial small subunit ribosomal RNA", at positions 524 to 776 of the family's 1533-position model. The record is from RNAcentral.
UACGAAGGGGGCUAGCGUUGCUCGGAAUGACUGGGCGUAAAGCGCACGUAGGCGGUUCGUUAAGUCGGAUGUGAAAGCCCUCGGCUCAACUGAGGAAGUGCACCCGAAACUGGCGAGCUUGAGUACGAAAGAGGAUCGCGGAAUUCCCGGUGUAGAGGUGAAAUUCGUAGAUAUCGGGAGGAACACCGGGUGGCGAAGGCGGCGAUCUGGGUCGAUACUGACGCGUGAGGUGCGAAAGCGUGGGGAGCAAACAGG